This is a long non-coding RNA of Rosa chinensis, 829 nucleotides long. RefSeq lists it as uncharacterized. The transcript has 6 exons. The record is from RefSeq and is a predicted model, not a curated record. NCBI's taxonomy places the organism in Eukaryota, Viridiplantae, Streptophyta, Magnoliopsida, Rosales, Rosaceae.
AAGCGCUAAUCCAAAUAAAAAAAAAAAAACGAAGAUAAAAUACUCUAAAGGGUAAUAGGCCGGAUAUCGCCCUUUUCUAUCUCCGCCGUUCUCCUCUCAGAGUCUCAUGAAGCUCCGUCUCCGUCUCUGAGAGCAUCUACCAUCUUUGAAGCUCUCGUCUAUCUCAAUGAGACAAGGAGAUGUCGAUACCAGGUCAAUUCAAUCUUUUCUGUCGCUGCACUACCAAUUGCUCUCUUAUUCUGGGUUCGAAAAGGGUCUAUGCUACCAUAUUUUGGUUCCACGUUUCAAGUUGGGGUCUCAACUUCCACUAGAUGCUGCAAAGAGAAAUGCAGGACAAUUUCCCUCAUAUAUGGGUUGGAGUGGUGGCUACUUGAGAGGGUGAUCUUGCUGCCAUGUAUGUUUUAAGAUUUGACUUGCCACCUCCACCUCCACCUCCAAGUUUAACGUGGCUACUUGAGAGGUGAUCUUGCUGCCAUAUACCAUACAAGCUGGGAUUUGUUAAGUUGUGGCCUUAGACAAUGAUUAAGUCUUGUAGAUAAGGGGAGCUUGCACCAGAAGGAGCUCAUUAUUUGACAACAGGGGAGCUCGUUAGUCUCAGUGAGUAGCAACUUGUGGACUGUGAUCAUGAGGAAGUGAGAGGCUUGUCUUGUUAAGCUUUCUUGAAUAAUAGCUAAAGCUGCUGGUAUAUGUUUUUGCCUUUGAAAGAUAGGUUUGGAUCUUUUCCUUCAAGUCUGUCAAAAUAAUGAACUACCAAGAGAGUUUUGUACUGUAAACCAUAUGUAAACCAUGUUUGCUGCAAUAUAAGUUUCUUCUGUUCCAAAAUCUUUUG